RNAcentral lists this ribosomal RNA (496 nucleotides) under uncultured bacterium. Its description in RNAcentral is "partial 16S ribosomal RNA". It matches the Rfam family "Bacterial small subunit ribosomal RNA", at positions 28 to 506 of the family's 1533-position model. The record is from RNAcentral.
GAUGAACGCUGGCGGCGUGCCUAAUACAUGCAAGUCGAGCGAACAGACGAGGAGCUUGCUCCUCUGACGUUAGCGGCGGACGGGUGAGUAACACGUGGAUAACCUACCUAUAAGACUGGGAUAACUUCGGGAAACUGGAGCUAAUACCGGAUAAUAUAUUGAACCGCAUGGUUCAAUAGUGAAAGACGGUUUUGCUGUCACUUAUAGAUGGAUCCGCGCCGCAUUAGCUAGUUGGUAAGGUAACGGCUUACCAAGGCGACGAUGCGUAGCCGACCUGAGAGGGUGAUCGGCCACACUGGAACUGAGACACGGUCCAGACUCCUACGGGAGGCAGCAGUAGGGAAUCUUCCGCAAUGGGCGAAAGCCUGACGGAGCAACGCCGCGUGAGUGAUGAAGGUCUUCGGAUCGUAAAACGCUGUUAUUAGGGAAGAACAAAUGUGUAAGUAACUAUGCACGUCUUGACGGUACCGAAUCAGAAAGCCACGGCUAACUACGU